UGCACAUAUGCAGUAUUAUCAUCUGUGCCAGUUGAUGCCUGUUCAUCUUUGCAUGUUGCUGUUCUUGUUUUAGGUACACCGUGUCAGAGGUCAAUGUGGCACUUCUGAGAAAGAGGGGAUUGGUGAAGUUGAUGUCCAGCCCCAGGAGGGCUCGCCCCCUGUAUCAUCAACAGACCCUGCCGGUGGGACCGAACCGAGAUCAGAGCGUCACGCAUCCAGAGCUGCGCCGAAUGACUCUGCUUGUGAGUGUACAGUCCAUAAGCUGGUUUUUGAACUGGUGAGAAUUGACAAAUGCUGGAUAUGCCAUUCACCUUUGACAUCUAUCAAAUGGCACGGUGUAAGAU
Molecule: non-coding RNA, 344 nt
Organism: Pimephales promelas (fathead minnow)
Lineage: Eukaryota; Metazoa; Chordata; Actinopteri; Cypriniformes; Leuciscidae
Source: RefSeq, a predicted model, not a curated record